GCACGCGUGGCGCAACUGGAUAGCGCAUCGGUCUUCGGAACCGAGGGUUGGGGGUUCGAAUCCCUCCGCGUGUA
Molecule: transfer RNA, 74 nt
Filed under: Pirellulaceae bacterium
Lineage: Bacteria; Pseudomonadati; Planctomycetota; Planctomycetia; Pirellulales; Pirellulaceae
Description: tRNA-Arg
Rfam family: tRNA
About the family: Transfer RNA (tRNA) molecules are approximately 80 nucleotides in length. Their secondary structure includes four short double-helical elements and three loops (D, anti-codon, and T loops).
Source: RNAcentral